Oncorhynchus keta (chum salmon) is the source of this 275-nucleotide long non-coding RNA. RefSeq lists it as uncharacterized. The record is from RefSeq and is a predicted model, not a curated record. Lineage: Eukaryota; Metazoa; Chordata; Actinopteri; Salmoniformes; Salmonidae. The transcript is spliced from 3 exons.
CUUUAAUCAUGUCUGUUCCUGCUGGUAGAGGUCUGUUGAUAAACAGCUUUAAUCCUGUCUGUUCCUGCUGGUAGAGGUCUGUUGAUAAACAGCUUUAAUCCUGUCUGUUCCUGCUGGUAGAGGUCUGUUGAUAAACAGCUUUAAUCAUGUCUGUUGAUAAACAGCUUUAAUCAUGUCUGUUCCUGCUGGUAGAGGUCUGUUGAUAAACAGCUUUAAUCAUGUCUGUUCCUGCUGGUAGAGGUCUGUUGAUAAACAGCUUUAAUCAUGUCUGUUCC